This 25-nucleotide unclassified non-coding RNA is filed under the name Mus musculus (house mouse). Its description in RNAcentral is "oocyte_clustered_small_RNA5372". Lineage: Eukaryota; Metazoa; Chordata; Mammalia; Rodentia; Muridae. The record is from RNAcentral.
UGCAUUAGUCAUGGCACACAGUACA